Molecule: long non-coding RNA, 556 nt
Organism: Prinia subflava (tawny-flanked prinia)
Lineage: Eukaryota; Metazoa; Chordata; Aves; Passeriformes; Cisticolidae
Exons: 2
Source: RefSeq, a predicted model, not a curated record
CGGGCACCUGGGCAGACGGAGGAGGGGCAAGCGGAGGAGCGGCUGGCACAGGCAGAGGAGGAUAAUUACCUUCAGCAGACAAAGAUACAUAAAACCACAGAUGCCGAACCUGCAACGCUUUCGCGAUGUCUGACGGACGGCUGCCUAGGCAAUACCACCAGGAAUUCCUUUUGCCCAACCAAGCGUAGCUUUCGCUGCGUCUUAAUGGCAGGCCCCCAGACCAGAGAAUAAAGAACCUUACCUCUCACCAGGGGUCGUUGUGAGCGGCGAGGGUCGCGGCUCCGAUGGGCUCCCCGAGAAAUCACCCGGUGCCGGCUGGAGCGUGAUCGGGUCGCGGGGUCCUGGCUGCGCCCACAAGGUCCCGUCCUGGGUCGCCAAAAAUGUUAGCGUAGGAAAACAUAUAACCACACAGAGGCGAUCAUAUGCGGUUCUUUAUUCCAGCGCGCGGGACACCGGGGUGAUAAUACACCCAAAUCUGAUGUCCAAAGCAUACAGAGUCGAUUCGUGAUUUUUAUAGUUUAAAUUAUACACAUGUUAACUAACCCCCACCCCUAGA